CCAGACUCCUACGGGAGGCAGCAGUGAGGAAUAUUGGUCAAUGGGCGCGAGCCUGAACCAGCCAAGUCGCGUGAGGGAAGACGGUCCUAUGGAUUGUAAACCUCUUUUGUCGGGGAGCAAAAGACGCCACGCGUGGCGUUCCGAGAGUACCCGAAGAAAAAGCAUCGGCUAACUCCGUGCCAGCAGCCGCGGUAAUACGGAGGAUGCGAGCGUUAUCCGGAUUUAUUGGGUUUAAAGGGUGCGCAGGCGGGCCUUUAAGCCGGCGGUGAAAUCGCGGGGCUCAACGCCGUCGAGCCGUUGAAACUGGCGUUCUUGAGUGGGCGAGAAGUAUGCGGAAUGCGUGGUGUAGCGGUGAAAUGCAUAGAUAUCACGCAGAACUCCGAUUGCGAAGGCAGCAUACCGGCGCCCUACUGACGCUGAGGCACGAAAGCGUGGGUAUCGAACAGGAUUAGAUACCCGGGUAGG
Molecule: ribosomal RNA, 465 nt
Filed under: uncultured bacterium
Lineage: Bacteria
Description: bacterial SSU rRNA
Rfam family: Bacterial small subunit ribosomal RNA
Source: RNAcentral